GAUGUGGAAGAGUUAUUAUGGCCACCCAAGGCUACGACCGGUAAGACCUUGAGAGGGGUGUCCUGCAUGCACUGAAACACCGGUCCAUACACCUACGGUGGCAGCAGUAAGGGAAUAUGGGCAUUGGCGAAAGGCUUGACCCAGCACGCCGCGUGCACCGAUGAAGGCCUUCCGGUCGUAAAGUGCUUUUCUGAGGAAUGAGUAAAGAACAGUACCUCCAGGAAUAAGCCUCGGGCUAACUACGUGCCAGCAGCCGCGGUAAUACGUAGGGGGCAAGCGUUGUCCGGAUUCACUGGGUGUAAAGGGCGCGUAGGCGGGAUAGCAAGUCAGUGGUGAAAUCUUGCAGCUCAACUGCAAAACUGCCAUUGAUACUGCUGUUCUUGAAUGUGGAAGAGAGAGGCGGAAUUCCAGGUGUAGUAGUGAAAUACGUAGAUAUCUGGAAGAACACCAAUUGCGAAGGCUGCUUCUUGGUCCAUUAUUGACGCUGAGGCGCGAAAGCGUGGGUAGCGAACAGGAUUAGAUACCCUGGUAGUCCACGCUGUAAACGAUGGACACUCGCUGUUGGCGAUACACAGUCAGCGGCUGAGCUAAAGUAUUAAGUGUCCCACCUGGGGAGUACGAUCGCAAGGUUGAAACUCAAAGGAAUUGACGGGGGCCCGCACAAGCGGUGGAGCAUGUGGUUUAAUUCGAUGAUACGCGAGGAACCUUACCUGGGCUUAAAUGUAGAACGCUUUUUGCUGAAAGGCAAUUUUCCUUCGGGACGUUUUGCAAGGUGCUGCAUGGUUGUCGUCAGUUCGUGCCGUGAGGUGUCGGGUUAAGUCCCAUAACGAGCGCAACCCUUAUCAUUAGUUGCCAACAGGUAAUGCUGGGGACUCUAAUGAAACUGCCUACGCAAGUAGUGAGGAAGGUGGGGAUGACGUCAAGUCCGCAUGGCCCUUACGCCUAGGGCUACACACGUGCUACAAUGGCCGGUACAAAGGGUCGCAAUACCGCGAGAUGGAGCGAAUCCCUAAAAAGCGGCCUCAGUUCGGAUUGGAGUCUGCAACUCGACUCCAUGAAGUUGGAAUUGCUAGUAAUCGCGUAUCAGCAUGACGCGGUGAAUACGUUCCCGGGCCUUGUACACACCGCCCGUCAAGCCAUGGAAGCCGGGGGUACCCAAAGAUAGUGACUCAACCGCAAGGAGAGAGCUAUUUAAGGUAAAACUGGUGACUGGGGCUAAGUCGUAACAAGGUAGCCGUA
Molecule: ribosomal RNA, 1239 nt
Filed under: denitrifying bacterium enrichment culture clone NOA_1_G7
Lineage: Bacteria
Description: bacterial SSU rRNA
Rfam family: Bacterial small subunit ribosomal RNA
Source: RNAcentral